Helianthus annuus (common sunflower) is the source of this 1257-nucleotide long non-coding RNA. RefSeq lists it as uncharacterized. Lineage: Eukaryota; Viridiplantae; Streptophyta; Magnoliopsida; Asterales; Asteraceae. The record is from RefSeq and is a predicted model, not a curated record. The transcript has 5 exons.
CACGCUCAAGUUUCAAAAUGCAAAACCCCUCAUCCCAAUCUCUCUUUGACUCAUUCUCUCUGAAAUCUCUACCGGAACCCACUCUCCCGCUCUUCAAAUAGGGAUAAAAACCCUUCUUUCUUCUCCAUGAGACAUUUUGACCUCAAACACGGAACCGAGAUAAUAUUAAGUUUAGAUCACUAAAAGUUCUUGUUCGAAUCAUCUUCUUCACAACGCCAGAAGAAAAAGGUUGCUACUGAUGUUGCAUCUUGGGGCCACCUUCCAAAGUAAAAGUACAGGAGGUUGUUUAGAAGUGUGUUUUUUGGAAAUUACGACACAAGAUAUUGAAUGGUCAGAAUCAGAUUAACACCUAACCGGUUAGGAAAAGUAUUAACCAAAAGUGACCUGCUUCAUUGUGUACAAACAUGAAAAAGGUAAUGUUUCGUACAUGAUGGACAAUAGUGUGGGGUUGUUCUGUUUACCCGUAGCCCAAAAGAAAUAAUCCGGACUGUGGUUGGAUGGUUCAGCACCAACUUAGACGAGCUCAAGAAAACAGCUUCAAGUUCGCGUAACCAGAGGUUGGUUGAACAAGUUGGCUAUGGGGUGAAAAAAGAACGGUUGGGAUUCAUGUUACGACUGAGUAAGAUUGAUUCUGGUUCUGUGGUUGGGGAUAACUGGAAGUCUGCUUUGGGGUCUAGGGAUGGGCAGAAAGAUGGCAUGUUUGUUGCUGCAGGUGAUGUGAGGUAUAAUACAUUUCAUAAUUCUAAAGUUUCAAAUCUUAGUUCAGACAAUCAAAGCCAAGUUAUUAAGGUUUUUGCAAGAAAAUAGUAUUAGUUCAAGGACUUAGACAGGCUUGGUCACGUGUUUUGAAGAAUUGAACUUGGAUUUCUAAUUCUGGGACAAAUUUUGCCAUGGAAGAAUUAAAGUGUGUUGAGAAUCUUGAAGUUUGUGACGUUAACUGGUCUGGCCUUUUCUUCACCUGGAAUCAAUGUCCAGGAAAAGCCGGAAAAGCAUGUGCUAUUUUAGAGAAGUUGGAUUAGAGUUAUGGGUAAUAGAAAGUUUGUUGAUUUAUUCCCUAACACCCAUGUUGUUUUCUUACCCUAUUUGUUCCUAAACAUUAUCUUGGCCAUCUUGUAAUGUAAUAGGCCUAAACCUAAACCAUCUAUUUGGAACUAUUUUGCUUCUAAAGAUGAGUUCAUUGCUAUCGUGAAGGAUGCUUGGAACUAUCUUGCUUUUUUAGGUGUUUUGAAAUGAACUUCAAUCAAUGUUCUCUGCUUA